AAAAGAAACCAACAGGGAUUGCCUUAGUAACGGCGAGUGAAGCGGCAAAAGCUCAAAUUUGAAAUCUGACAUCCUUGGUGUCCGAAUUGUACUUUGGAGAGGCAUCUUCUGGAGGGGCCCAGCCUAUGUGCCUUGGAACAGGACGUCAUAGAGGGUGAGAAUCCCGUCCUUGGCUGGAUGUUCCCUCCUGUAUGUAGUGUCUUCUACGAGUCGAGUUGUUUGGGAAUGCAGCUCAAAAUGGGUGGUAAAUUUCAUCUAAAGCUAAAUAUUGGCGAGAGACCGAUAGCGCACAAGUAGAGUGAUCGAAAGAUGAAAAGCACUUUGAAAAUAGAGUCAAAUAGUACGUGAAAUUGUUGAAAGGGAAGCGCUUGAGAUCAGAGCCCGCCUUUGGCAAACAACUGUCCUUUUGGGUGGUGCACUUGUCAUUUGGUAGGGUCAGCAUCGGUUGGGACGGCAGGAUAAAGGCCCAGGGAAUGUGACUCCUCUAUGGAGUGUUAUAGCCCCAGGCGGCAUGCUGUCAGCCUCGACCGUGGACCGCGCUUUGGCUCGGAUGCUGGCGUAAUGGUCUUCAGCGAC
This 576-nucleotide ribosomal RNA is filed under the name Tuber californicum. RNAcentral describes it as "LSU rRNA". It matches the Rfam family "Eukaryotic large subunit ribosomal RNA", at positions 57 to 648 of the family's 3401-position model. Lineage: Eukaryota; Fungi; Ascomycota; Pezizomycetes; Pezizales; Tuberaceae. The record is from RNAcentral.